CGCCAGACUCCUACGGGAGGCAGCAGUGGGGAAUAUUGCACAAUGGGGGGAACCCUGAUGCAGCGACGCCGCGUGAAGGAAGAAGUAUUUCGGUAUGUAAACUUCUAUCAGCAGGGAAGAAAAUGACGGUACCUGACUAAGAAGCCCCGGCUAACUACGUGCCAGCAGCCGCGGUAAUACGUAGGGGGCAAGCGUUAUCCGGAUUUACUGGGUGUAAAGGGAGCGUAGGCGGUUUAGCAAGUCAGAAGUGAAAGCCCGGGGCUCAACCCCGGGACUGCUCUGGAAACUGCGUCGCUGGAGUACGGGAGGGGCAGGCGGAAUUCCUGGUGUAGCGGUGAAAUGCGUAGAUAUCAGGAGGAACACCGGCGGCGAAGGCGGCCUGCUGGACCGUGACUGACGUUGAGGCUCGAGAGCGUGGGGAGCAAACAGGAUUAGAUACCCCCGUA
Molecule: ribosomal RNA, 446 nt
Filed under: uncultured bacterium
Lineage: Bacteria
Description: bacterial SSU rRNA
Rfam family: Bacterial small subunit ribosomal RNA
Source: RNAcentral